RNAcentral lists this ribosomal RNA (497 nucleotides) under uncultured bacterium. Its description in RNAcentral is "partial 16S ribosomal RNA". It matches the Rfam family "Bacterial small subunit ribosomal RNA", at positions 28 to 507 of the family's 1533-position model. The record is from RNAcentral.
GAUGAACGCUGGCGGCGUGCCUAAUACAUGCAAGUCGAGCGAACAGACGAGGAGCUUGCUCCUCUGACGUUAGCGGCGGACGGGUGAGUAACACGUGGAUAACCUACCUAUAAGACUGGGAUAACUUCGGGAAACCGGAGCUAAUACCGGAGAAUAUAUUGAACCGCAUGGUUCAAUAGUGAAAGACGGUUUUGCUGUCACCUAUAGAUGGAUCCGCGCCGCAUUAGCUAGUUGGUAAGGUAACGGCUUACCAAGGCAACGAUGCGUAGCCGACCUGAGAGGGUGAUCGGCCACACUGGAACUGAGACACGGUCCAGACUCCUACGGGAGGCAGCAGUAGGGAAUCUUCGGCGAUGGGCGAAAGCUUGACGGAGCAACGCCGCGUGAGUGAUGAAGGUCUUCGGAUCGUAAGACUCUGUUAUUAGGGAAGAACAAAUGUGUCAGUAACUAUGCACGUCUUGACGGUACCUAAUCAGAAAGCCACGGCUAACUACGUG